RNAcentral lists this ribosomal RNA (468 nucleotides) under uncultured bacterium. RNAcentral describes it as "partial 16S ribosomal RNA". It matches the Rfam family "Bacterial small subunit ribosomal RNA", at positions 28 to 507 of the family's 1533-position model. The record is from RNAcentral.
GACGAACGCUGGCGGCGUGCUUAACACAUGCAAGUCGAACGGAAAGGCCCUGCUUUUGUGGGGUGCUCGAGUGGCGAACGGGUGAGUAACACGUGAGUAACCUGCCCUUGACUUUGGGAUAACUUCAGGAAACUGGGGCUAAUACCGGAUAGGAGCUCCUGCUGCAUGGUGGGGGUUGGAAAGUUUCGGCGGUUGGGGAUGGACUCGCGGCUUAUCAGCUUGUUGGUGGGGGAGUGGCUUACCAAGGCUUUGACGGGUAGCCGGCCUGAGAGGGUGACCGGCCACCUUGGGACUGCGGUACGGCCCAGACUCCUACGGUAGGCAGAAGUGGGGAAUAUUGCACAGUGGGCGGACGCCUGAUGCAGCAACGCCGCGUGCGGGAUGACGGCCUUCGGGUUGUAAACCGCUUUCGCCUGUGACGAAGCGUGAGUGACGGUAAUGGGUAAAGAAGCACCGGCUAACUACGUG